UGAAGUUGCAGUAAUAAACCCUGCAAAUGUCAUUCCUUUGUGCGUCAAAAAGAACUGAUUAUAAAAAUAAAUAAAAAAAACCGACUACGAAAAUAUGUGUACUGUAUAAUAUCCUGUGUAAUUAUUAAUAUCAUAUGAAAUGGUUGUUGGGUGACUCUAGUGAUGCAAUUAAUUCAGGAACGAUCACGCCCACUACAGUUACGAGCUUCGCCCGAGGGUUCGCCUUUAUGCAAAUCACUCGUUCAAACAGGUUUUAAUAUUCAAAUAAGGCUUGACAUGUUCAAUUCUAGUUUCUUAACAACCCUCCUCCAUCUUAUGACCAAUAUUUUGUGUAGGUUGCACAAUAAGGUCAGGUGUUUUUGCUUAGCGUGUGACCAAACGCCACACUUUUGCGGGUUUAGUUAGAUUUUCAACGUGCAUAACUUACCUCGAGCAACCAAUAGGGGGCAUAGGCGAAAUUUUUGGGAAAUUAUUUUCAAUACUUUUAAAAUAUUUUAAAACAUUUUAAAUAUAUAAGGUACGAAUUAAAAUGGUUGUUAAAUAACAUGUUAAAAUUUGCAUAUUAACAGUUUUGUAGGCCUAAAUUAAAGUGGCCUCGUGUUUUACGUAGGCUACACGAAGUGCAUGUUAUCUGGGUGAAGGUAAAACUGUAACAGUUCCUCAUAUACAGUUUACAGCUCUCAGAAGCAAGUGUAUUCAUAAUUAAAACUGCUGAAGUUCAGGUGAGUCAGGGGCUUUAACCCGUCACAUGAAUCAAUGAUGUGCUGUCACCGAACAGGAGAACACUGGCACACCCAAGCUGACCCAGAACCAGCUGUAAACCUUACCUGACGCAGAUACUGGGUAUCUUUACCUAUCCAGAAACCCACAGGUAUGUAUCAUUAAAACCAGCAGAAGUAUGAGCAUAUUAGCUUCCUGCUCUCAUUCUAAACAUUUUGGAACAGGGAACAAUCUGUGUCUACAAAUAUACAACAGGAGGCCCGUUUUUACUGCAAACAAUUAAGCUUUAAAUAGCUUGAUAUAUUAUCAGUCAUAUCAACAGCCAUACAUUGUGAUGUGCAUUGUUUUGGUGUCAGGUUGUGUAAAGUAUGAAUGAGUUAUUAUGCCUCGUUUUCAAAAACAUACAACUUUGGAAAGUCCCUGUAACUAUAAUUUGCAUAGGCAUAGUUGUUUUUUUUUCUUCUUUUCUUUUCUUUCUUUCUUUCUUUCUUUCUGCUAGCAGCAUAUGUGACACAAAGUGCCCAUUGUGGCUCUUGUGGUUUUUAAAAGUGGGGAGCAGAGAAUUGUGGCUAUCCAGCACUUUGUAACAAUGUAUAGUGUGUGAGCUUGCAUCUUUCUUCCAGCCAAGCCUUUUGGCGAGCUUGCUGACUUUUGAUCGUUUUAGUUUACGAUAGGACGAAAGGUUUUAAUAAUUACCCUCAUUCAGUAGAAUUCCCCUUCAUGAAUAAUCCAAUAUUGGCAAAAAAAAAACUUUUCACUUAAAUCGAUAUCCUCCCAAAUCUAAACGGUAAUACACCUAGGCCUAAUUAUUCUACACGAAAUCAAAAAAUUAAAUUGAGAAAAUCGCCAUUAAAGUUCUUCUUUAAAGUUCUUAGCAAUUUAUAUUACUGAUUAAAAAUUAAGUUUUGAUAUAUUUACGGUAGGGAAUUUACAAAAUAUCUUCAUGGAACAUGAUCUUAAUAUCCUAAUGAUUUUUGGAAUUAAAGCAAAAUCGAUAAUUUUGUCCCAUGCAGUGUAUUGUUAGCUACAAAUAUACCCGUGCUACUUAUGACUGGCUUUGUCGUACAGGGUCACAAAAUAUUUUAAUGAUACCAUAAAAUGAAAUGUAAAUAUAUAGGCUACGUGUAUACAUACUGAAAAAACAGUGUGGGAUUAAAUCUGAAAAAAAAAAAAAAAAAAAUAGACAAUUACAAAGAAACGGCAGGUAACUUCGAAGCAGAAAGACUGAAAUAGUAUUUUACAAUGUAACAUUACUCAAAUAAUCUUUGUUUUGUGUAAAUCUUCGGUAAACCUUUCUUUAUACCCUCUAAUCAGGUGAAGAAACUUGUAGUUAUUUCAAAAUUAAAUAAAUUAUGCUUGAAAACAGGCACACUACUGAUUUUGCAGUAGCUAUCAGCACGCACUUGAAGCUCUUGCCAAAAGCAAAACAAGGUCUUUUUUCGACACCUACUGGCAGUGCAGCGGUACUACAAGCACAAGCAGCUUCCUAUACGCAUAGAAUGACGUGUUGUUGUUUUUUUUGUAUCGCUACACCCACUUACCUCAGCUACAACCUUCCGGAGUAAAAUAGAAGACAUUUUGUGUUUGAAUAAAUAAAAACGUAAAUGUAGUUGUUGACAGUUGUUUUACACAUUUCGGAGCAUGCGCACGAACGCUCUGUGAAACUCGCUGUUCGCCGUGAUUAUCGUUUACCGGUAGUUAAUCUCCGUAGGAAUACGUUGCGUAAGUUACCGGGUCUGGUUAUGGCGUCGGUGAGUCGUGCUGGACCAUGAGUUAUUACGGUAUUGGAGUGUGUAAAGAGACUGUGGCCAUGGCUGGUGUGUUUGAUAUCGACCUAGACCCGUCGGAGGACAACGUGUCGGACGAGGAGCUCGCUGACGGGGCCAAGAGUAAUGAAUGCAUGGACCAGUGCAGUGGCUUUGACUUUAUGGAAGACUGCGAGAAGUUCGAGAUCUCCGAGAACAGUGUGAAUCAAGGCACAGAGCAGAUUCGUCCGGAAUGUUUUGAGUUGCUUCGUGUUUUGGGUAAAGGAGGAUAUGGCAAGGUUUUUCAAGUUCGAAAAGUAUCAGGGGCAGAUUCUGGGAAGAUAUUUGCCAUGAAGGUCUUGAAAAAGGCCAUGAUAGCUCGCAAUGCAAAGGAUACUGCUCAUACUAAAGCAGAAAGGAGCAUCCUAGAGGAAGUUAAGCAUCCCUUCAUUGUGGACCUCAUAUACGCCUUUCAGACUGGAGGCAAACUUUACCUCAUCUUGGAGUACCUAAGCGGUGGAGAGCUGUUCAUGCAGCUGGAGAGGGAGGGGAUCUUCUUAGAGGACACAGCCGGUUUUUACCUGGCAGAGAUUUCCAUGGCCUUGGGUCACCUUCAUCAGAAAGGCAUUAUCUACAGAGAUCUGAAGCCAGAGAACAUCAUGCUCAAUAACAAUGGUCAUGUGAAGUUGACAGACUUCGGACUCUGUAAGGAGUCGAUCCACGAUGGGACCGUCACACACACCUUCUGCGGAACCAUAGAGUACAUGGCACCAGAGAUCCUCAUGAGAAGCGGCCAUAACCGAGCUGUGGACUGGUGGAGUCUGGGAGCCCUGAUGUAUGACAUGCUGACAGGAGCUCCACCAUUCACUGCAGAGAAUCGGAAAAAAACCAUAGACAAAAUCCUAAAGUGCAAACUGAACCUUCCACCUUACCUCACCCAAGAAGCACGGGACCUUCUGAAAAAGCUGCUGAGAAGAAACGCAUCAACGAGGAUGGGAGCAGGUCCUAGAGAUGCUUUAGAUAUCCAGGCCCACUCCUUCUUCAGACAUAUGAACUGGGAUGAUCUGCUGGCUUUUAAAGUUGAACCUCCCUUUAAGCCUUUUUUGAUCUCUAUUUCUACAGCGAUCAGCAGAUGAUGUUAGCCAGUUUGACUCCAAGUUCACUAGUCAGACUCCUGUGGACAGUCCCGAUGACUCGACACUCAGUGAAAGCGCCAACCAAGUCUUCCUGGGCUUUACAUACAUAGCUCCAUCUGUGCUCGAAAACAUCAACGAGAAGUUCACUUUUGAGCCAAAAUACCGUUCACCUCGCAAGCUUCUGGGAAGCCCAAGAACACCAGUGAG
This is an RNA transcript of Cyprinus carpio (common carp), 3808 nucleotides long. It is a transcript of the gene named ribosomal protein S6 kinase b, polypeptide 1a, with no coding region annotated. NCBI's taxonomy places the organism in Eukaryota, Metazoa, Chordata, Actinopteri, Cypriniformes, Cyprinidae. The record is from RefSeq and is a predicted model, not a curated record. The transcript has 14 exons.